Molecule: long non-coding RNA, 1303 nt
Filed under: Felis catus (domestic cat)
Lineage: Eukaryota; Metazoa; Chordata; Mammalia; Carnivora; Felidae
Description: lncRNA (ENSFCAG00000053208.1)
Source: RNAcentral
CUCUCUCCUUACACACACAGCCAGGCAGAGCGGCCAGGACAGACGCAGGCAGAGCCUUGCCUAGGAGGACCUUGUCCCUGGCUCGCAGUGGCUCUUUGGACUCAGGAGGGCGGGACUGCGCCUGCCUGGGACCUAGGCUGGAAACGCUGGAGCAGGUCUGCGCUGGCAUGGAGGAGCACAGUUCUUGGCCACUUCCUCUGGGCGCCAGGGAAGGCUGCGGAGGUAACGAGAGGAGAGCCGGACAGGCCCCUUCCUGCCUGCGGGACCCGGCAGUCCUGCGUCAGGCGCCAUGGCACGCUACAGACACCGUGAUGGCUUGGGGACCGCCUCCCAGUGGGAUGAUGGGUCCCCGGGUCCCCUCGCCACACAGAUCACCUCUGAAUGCCAGGUGGCAGCAAUCUCACUGUAAAUGCCAUUGUCAUUGUAAACAAUGACAAGUGGCCACGCCAUUCGUGGGCACUCAGCGCUGACACCGCACAUGCUCCACGAGCAACUUGGCUUUUAGCCUUGGGCCGACUCUACCCAGUACGAUGAUCACACUCUCCAGAGCAGGAAACUGAGGCUCAGAGACGGAGGUAAGCUGGACCGAGAUCCGACCUCCGGUCUGGACCCAGACCCUAAGGGGCUCCGCCCACCCCCUCCCCGGGCCUCUCUGGAGCUGUCCCGGUGCUGGGUCACGGGGACGGCACGAAGCACAGGGUCCACAAAUGUCGUUUCCCAUCUCCCAUCGUGAAUCUGGGUUCCUCCAGGACCGCACACGAGAUGAUUUUCCUGGGGGCUCAGGGUCGAAGCUGGGUCUGCAGAGCCCUGUUGACAUCUUGCCCUGUCCCUGAGCUCUGUCCAAACACAGACGCUUUUGUGCCGUGACCUGCCGUUUUCCCAUGGCCCGACCAAGUAUGCUUUCCGCAUCACAUCGUUGACUUUCCCAACAUCCGUGUCUCUCCAGGCACGCUCGUGCAAGUACCUUCCCGAGGCUGACGGGCUUCCCGAGAGAGACUAGCACGCUGCAGGCCGCAGCCCCUCCUCUGAGCCUCUCACCCCUUGGGCCACGACGGCCUGGUGGAGGCUGAAGCCACAGCAGCCGGCCCAGGGCCGUGGUGCACUGGUACCGCCCCGUGACUGACGGGGCCACCAGGAGGCCCAAAACCCUCGUGAAGGUGUCUGUGCAGGUCCCACAGCACCGUCCUGGGUGUGGCCUGAGGCCACCCCAGGAUGACCCCCGCCGCCUCCCCCGGUCCAGCUCCCCGCUGAGGCCUCUGCAGCCACACGGACUGUCGUGGGUCCAGAGCAGCAGAAACGACAC